RNA transcript from Zingiber officinale, 2896 nucleotides. It is a transcript of the gene named transcription factor GTE4-like, with no coding region annotated. NCBI's taxonomy places the organism in Eukaryota, Viridiplantae, Streptophyta, Magnoliopsida, Zingiberales, Zingiberaceae. The transcript is spliced from 4 exons. The record is from RefSeq and is a predicted model, not a curated record.
CGCCCCCCUCUGUGAUCCUCUUAUUGCUCCACGAAGAACGAGAAAGCGUGCGCGCGAUUUCGCGAUUUUAGGGUUAGGGUUUUCUCCAUCUCCGGUCCUCUCUUCCUCCUUUCGAUCGGGUUUUCCAUCCCGAACGUCUGCAAGGCCCGAUCGGGCCGCCGGCAUCCCCCUACUCCGUUUGAUGCAUGGAUUCCGGCCCCCUUCCCGCCGCUACCGCGGACGACGGCGUCGGUGAGAGUCGCCGGUGGGCCGACUGCAAGGUAUAUACGCGGAGGAACCGUGCCAAGAAGAACACUCCAAGCGCGGUCCAGGAUCCGCAGCCGUCAUCCCGAGAAACCCUAGCCGAGAACCCUCAGCCCUCACCCGUCGGAACCUUAGAUGAAAACCCUCAGCCGUCAUCCCGUGAAACCCUAACGACGACAAAGACCAAGGACGACCUUCAAUCCUCCCUCCAUCAGCCUCCGGCGGCGGAACCUCCUUCUGGACAUCAGCCUCUGGUCAGUCUCCACCCCGUGUCGGAUAACGAACCCUUCAGCCUCAAUCGUCCAUGCCCGGAGGGGACGAUCGUGCCUGACAUCAAGGCCUCCGCCCCUCACGAAAAUGGCUCGUUGGAGAACGGGAGAGACGAACCAUCGCAGCUGGAGUUACUGAAGAUCCGGCAGAAGCUCCUUGCUGAUCUCGCUCAGGUGAGGGAUCUUUUCAAGAGGCUUGAGGCCCGUCAGAUUGAGCUCUUUGCUGUGCAUGUGGAUGGUGAUGGUGGAGCUCCUUCUCAAUUCUCAGCUAAUCAUGGGAAUACUACUAUGUCAGGAAAGAGAGCACCAGCCCUUGUUGAAGCUGAUUCGGUGGACCCUCCCGCAGCACAUUCCUAUUUUGACAUCCCAGUGCCUCCCAAUGUCAGUGGAAAGAAUAGCAUAGCUAACUCGAUGCUGGUGGAUGAGGUAUUUUCUGUCCCUGCUGCAGGUGGUGCCGGUGCCCGUUCUCAACUUUCGGUGAACCAUGCGACAUCACCUGUGGCAAUUCAGAGAGCACCUGUUGUCUUUGAUGCUCUUCCAAACAGUCCCGCUCUUCUCCCCUUUCGUCCCCGGCUCAGCAUCAUAGUGCCACAUGGUGCUGGUUCUAGGAAUAACAUCAGUGAAUUGCCCUUACAGAAGGAGAAGAGAACACCUAAGGCCAACCAAUACUUUCAUAGUUCAGAUUUCAUUUUGGGUAAGGAUAAGAUUCCUCCUCCACCAUCUCUGAAGAAGUCCAAGACCAGCAAAAGCAAGAAGAAUUUUACAGAAUCAGAUUAUAAGACAUCGCCUGAAAAGAAAGUAUAUACUAGUGCCUUCAAGAGCUGUCGGGCAUUGCUGGAGAAACUCAUGAAGCACAAGUUUGGAUGGGUGUUUAAUAAACCAGUAGAUGUUGAUGGUCUUGGUCUCUAUGAUUAUUUCUUGAUCAUUAAGCACCCGAUGGACCUUGGCACUGUAAAAUCUCGCCUUGCUGAUCAUUUCUAUGAAACUCCAGAAGAAUUUGCAGAAGAUGUCAGACUUACUUUCAGGAAUGCAAUGACAUAUAAUCCUGAUGGCCAGGAUGUUCAUUUCAUGGCACGGGAGAUGUCCAACAUCUUUGAGGAACGGUGGCUUGUGAUUGAGACUGAGUUUACAGAUCAAUUGCACCACUUAUAUUCAGUCAAUAAGAAAAGGGCUCCUCCUUUAAGGGGAACUAUGGAAAGGUCAGACUCCACAGUGCAUCCGAUAGUUGUUGAUUUGCGAAAAGAACAAAAUCAGUAUCACCAUUUUGACCGGCCUAUUGCUUUGAAGAAACCAAAGGCUAAAGACUUGUACAAGAGGGAGAUGACAUUGAAGGAGAAGCAAACUUUAAGUCGUCACUUGGAGAGUCUGCCGCCGGAAAAGUUGGAUUUGGUUGUGGAAAUUAUUAAGAAGAGGAAUUUUGCUUUGAGUCAACAUGAUGAUGAGAUUGAAGUGGAUAUUGAUAGUGUGGACACAGAUACGCUCUGGGAACUUGAUAGAUUUGUGUCAAAUUAUAAGAAGACAUUAAGUAAGCACAAAAGGAAGGCAGAGCUAGCGAUGCUGGCUAGGGCUGAGGCAGAGCACCUCAGCCAAGAAAGAAUGAAUGGAGAGGGUCCUGAUCCAGUUGCUUCAUCAGCACAGCAAACUGACGAAGCAAUGCAAGACCAGAAUGAUGUUGCUGCUCAUCUAGUUGUUGGAGGAGUGAACAAUGGCAAUGAUGCAAUUGGAUCAAGUAGUUCCAGUGGAUCUAGCAGUGAUUCAAGCUCGGAUAGUGGUAAUAUUUUGAUACAACACAGUCAGAUUACAAAAUUAGGGAUAUAUAUAUUUUUUGUUUUCCAAUUGAGAAUGCAUGUUGUAUGUAGCUAUUGUAUAUUUUAUUAUCCUGUAUGUCAAUGGAGACAAAAUUGAAUUAUGUUUUGUUUUUAUUGUGUACAAUUGUCAACUUAUACUGUUAAUUGCAGACUCUGACAGUGGAAGCUCCUCGUCAUAUGAAUCAGAUGCGCCACAUUGAUCCUGAAGAGAAAUAAAAUAGCUUCUACGGAAGAUAUAUCAAAGCUCUGUGAAUGUGUGGACGAAUUGCUUCCCAAGUUUUUCCCGUGAAUUUGCCUAAAAAAAGGUGAUGACUCCAUAUAAGUUGUAUGAUUGUAUCCCCCAUGAAACUGGUCUUAUUAUUGACUCUUGUAGUUGGAUAAGGAUGCUAACCACAACAAACCGGCAAUUUUUUGAGAUGGGACUUCUUUUUAGCAGUUUCUUCUGCUUAUAUUUGUACAGAAAGAUUUAAGAUUUGUAGUAGUUUCAGAAUGACAGGUUAAAUUAUAUCUUUUGUCCCCAUUGCACGGUUCGUGUACACUAGCAUUUUCUGUUUAUGUAAGUGUUGUUUUCUAACU